CCUACGGGAGGCAGCAGUGGGGAAUUUUGGACAAUGGACGCAAGUCUGAUCCAGCCAUUCCGCGUGCAGGAUGAAGGCCCUCGGGUUGUAAACUGCUUUUGUACGGAACGAAAAGGUCUCUCCUAAUACGAGGGGCUCAUGACGGUACCGUAAGAAUAAGCACCGGCUAACUACGUGCCAGCAGCCGCGGUAAUACGUAGGGUGCAAGCGUUAAUCGGAAUUACUGGGCGUAAAGCGUGCGCAGGCGGUUAUAUAAGUCAGAUGUGAAAUCCCCGGGCUCAACCUGGGAACUGCAUUUGAGACUGUAUAGCUAGAGUACGGUAGAGGGGGAUGGAAUUCCGCGUGUAGCAGUGAAAUGCGUAGAUAUGCGGAGGAACACCGAUGGCGAAGGCAAUCCCCUGGACCUGUACUGACGCUCAUGCACGAAAGCGUGGGGAGCAAACAGGAUUAGAUACCCUGGUAGUCCACGCCCUAAACGAUGUCAACUGGUUGUUGGGUCUUAACUGACUCAGUAACGAAGCUAACGCGUGAAGUUGACCGCCUGGGGAGUACGGCCGCAAGGUUGAAACUCAAAUGAAUUGACGG
This 585-nucleotide ribosomal RNA is filed under the name uncultured bacterium. RNAcentral's name for it is "bacterial SSU rRNA". It matches the Rfam family "Bacterial small subunit ribosomal RNA", at positions 338 to 916 of the family's 1533-position model. The record is from RNAcentral.